CCUACGGGUGGCAGCAGUGGGGAAUAUUGCACAAUGGGGGAAACCCUGAUGCAGCGACGCCGCGUGAGUGAAGAAGUAAUUCGUUAUUUAACGCUCUAUCAGCAGGGAAGAAAAUGACGGUACCUGAGUAAUAAGCCCCGGCUAACUACGUGCCAGCAGCCGCUGUAAUACGGAGGGGGCAAGCGUUAUCCGGAUUCACUGGGUGUAAAGGGAGCGUAGACGGGAGUGCAAGUCCGGAGUGAAAGAGGAGGGAUCAACCCUCGGACUGCUGUGGAAACUGUUCGGCUGGAGUGUGGGAGAGGUAAGUGGAAUUCCUGGUGUAGCGGUGAAAUGCAUAGAUAUUAGGAGGAACACCAGUGGCGAAGGCGGCAUACUGGACUGUAACUGACGUUGAGGCUCGAAAGCGUGGGGAGCAAACAGGAUUAGAUACCCUGGUAGUC
This 440-nucleotide ribosomal RNA is filed under the name uncultured bacterium. RNAcentral's name for it is "partial 16S ribosomal RNA". It matches the Rfam family "Bacterial small subunit ribosomal RNA", at positions 338 to 795 of the family's 1533-position model. The record is from RNAcentral.